This 416-nucleotide ribosomal RNA is filed under the name Candidatus Cardinium hertigii. RNAcentral describes it as "bacterial SSU rRNA". It matches the Rfam family "Bacterial small subunit ribosomal RNA", at positions 991 to 1409 of the family's 1533-position model. The record is from RNAcentral. Lineage: Bacteria; Pseudomonadati; Bacteroidota; Cytophagia; Cytophagales; Amoebophilaceae.
UUGCAACCUUGAGAAAUUGAGGGUUCCUUCGGGACGGAAUACAAGGUGCUGCAUGGCUGUCGUCAGCUCGUGCCGUGAGGUGUUGGGUUAAGUCCUAUAACGAGCGCAACCCUUUUACUUAAUUGCCAGCACGUAAUGGUGGGGACUUUAAGUAGACUGCCCGUGCAAGCGGGAGGAAGGAGAGGACGAGGUCAAGUCAUCAUGGCCUUUAUGCCCAGGGCUACAAAUGUACUACAAUGGCAUGUACAGAGGGAUGCUACUUGGUAACAAGAUGCAAAUCUCAAAAGCAUGUCUCAGUUCGGAUUGGGGUCUGCAACUCGACCCCAUGAAGUUGGAAUCGCUAGUAAUCGCGUAUCAGCAAUGACGCGGUGAAUACGUUCUCGGACCUUGUACACACCGCCCAUCAAGCCAUGGGA